CGUUCCGAGGAGCGCUGCGACGGACUUGAUUCGCCAGGCUCGGAGAUCCCCAACCGCGCUCACGUUAC
RNAcentral lists this non-coding RNA (68 nucleotides) under Corchorus olitorius. RNAcentral describes it as "SAH sequence". It matches the Rfam family "SAH (S-adenosyl-L-homocysteine) riboswitch aptamer". Lineage: Eukaryota; Viridiplantae; Streptophyta; Magnoliopsida; Malvales; Malvaceae. The record is from Rfam by way of RNAcentral.